RNAcentral lists this ribosomal RNA (708 nucleotides) under uncultured bacterium. RNAcentral describes it as "bacterial SSU rRNA". It matches the Rfam family "Bacterial small subunit ribosomal RNA", at positions 99 to 804 of the family's 1533-position model. The record is from RNAcentral.
CGGACGGGUGCGUAACGCGUAGGAAUAUACCUGGUAGUAGGGGACAACCCGGCGAAAGCCGGGCUAAUACCGCAUACGAUCUACGGAUGAAAGCAGGGGACCGCAAGGCCUUGCGCUAUCAGAUUAGCCUGCGUCGGAUUAGCUAGUUGGUGAGGUAAAGGCUCACCAAGGCGACGAUCCGUAGCUGGUUUGAGAGAACGACCAGCCACACUGGGACUGAGACACGGCCCAGACUCCUACGGGAGGCAGCAGUGGGGAAUAUUGGACAAUGGGGGCAACCCUGAUCCAGCAAUGCCGCGUGUGUGAAGAAGGCCUUCGGGUUGUAAAGCACUUUCGAUGGGGAAAAACAAGCCAGACCUAACACGUCUGGCCCUGAUGGUACCCAGAGAAGAAGCACCGGCUAACUCUGUGCCAGCAGCCGCGGUAAUACAGAGGGUGCAAGCGUUAAUCGGAAUUACUGGGCGUAAAGGGUGCGUAGGUGGUUUGUUAAGUCAGGCGUGAAAUCCCUGGGCUCAACCUGGGAACUGCGUUUGAUACUGGCAGACUCGAGUCUGGUAGAGGGUAGUGGAAUUCCGCAUGUAGCGGUGAAAUGCGUAGAUAUGCGGAGGAACAUCAGUGGCGAAGGCGGCUACCUGGACCAAGACUGACACUGAGGCACGAAAGCGUGGGGAUCAAACAGGAUUAGAUACCCUGGUAGUCCACGCCCUA